RNAcentral lists this long non-coding RNA (648 nucleotides) under Pan troglodytes (chimpanzee). RNAcentral describes it as "long non-coding RNA NONPTRT016702". Lineage: Eukaryota; Metazoa; Chordata; Mammalia; Primates; Hominidae. The record is from RNAcentral.
UUCCUUCCUUUUGUAAAUAAACUGCCUUUUGAUUGUAACACAUAGGUGAAUUUACUCAGGUGGACAACAAUGUCACUUCAUUCCUCCAGCAGAUUUCAUCUUGCUCUCAAGGCCCUGCAGUGGCGACAGUGGGGAGGAUUUAAGAUUGCCAGUUCCAGGCCUUAGAAGCAGAAACUCCAGUACCUACGGGAAGGAUGCUGCAGCCGCGUGUCUGUGGAUACUGAAGGAGCAAUGACUUGAUGGAGAGUCAGCUGAAGAUUUUAUUCAACAAGAAAAAUAUUCUGUAGAGAAAGUACGAAUGGAUCAUGUGAAUAAGUAGGGAAAACACUGUUUAAAAGUUCAAGAGAACAGAAUAUUUUAUAAUUGUAUCUUAGAAUCUGCCACUCAUGUACACAUCUCAGAUGUGCCAGUUUCUCUCCAUCUUGCUCUAGUCUACAACAGUUAGUGAGGAGCAGCAUGUUUGAGGCCACAUUGAGGACAUAUGCUGUGGAAAGUUGUGCCUUGGCCUUAGAGCCACAGAAUUCUCAGUGCUAAUCCCCGCUCGCCACUUAAUAGCUGUGUGAGCUUUGGUAAAUCAAGGGAUUUCAAAUCACUUGAUUUCUCUGUGCCCCAAUUCCUUCUUCACCCUCUGGGGAUCUUGUAAAGACU